GGUGUGUGAGAGAGAUAGAGAAGUGUGCGCGCACCAGUGUCUAUUCCAUGUAUUCAGUGUGGGUUCUGUGGUUGCCAUGGCACUGUAAAGUAGCCUAGGCAGAAAGCUUUGUAGCAGAGGAAGUUCAGGGACUGUUCAGGGAAUGCUCCUGACCACUGCCGAGAUGUGGCUUUUCGUGUGCUUUUCAGCAGCUGUGGCAUCACCCAGGUGGGUGCUACAUUCAUGGCAAAGGAGGACCAGUACCAGAGGAGUGGAUCCAAUGGAGUGACUGACCAUUCAGAGAAGCAGGUGUAGUGCGCUGUUGAAGAAGCGCUCCGGGCCUAUUUUUAUCAGACUGUCUGUUUCUCAUUGGCUGUCCCGUCGAUGCCCUUUACACUGAACCUACAUUGCCUAUCAAAUACAAAUUGCCUCAACUUAAAACUAAGCAGAGAGACUUUUAAUCUCUAUUUACAUUUUGUUGUGUUUUUACUUUUUAUGCGCUAUGAGAUUUUGGAAAGCGUACAAACAGCUUUAAAAAAUGUAUGAAUUAUUAGAUCUGUAACCCGAGUAUGGCUAGUGUUGUAGCUUAGGUCUACUGUGUUCUUAAUAUUUUUUGAGCCAUUGCUUUAAGAGGACAAAAAUGGAAAUACAUUUUCAAACUUGUUUUGCAUAAUCGUAGAUGAUUUUAAAUUCGUUAUCCACUUGGGGUUGUAUUGUGUUUUAAAUGAUCAAAUCUAUCUAAAUGUA
Long non-coding RNA from Oncorhynchus kisutch (coho salmon), 726 nucleotides. RefSeq lists it as uncharacterized. The transcript has 2 exons. Lineage: Eukaryota; Metazoa; Chordata; Actinopteri; Salmoniformes; Salmonidae. The record is from RefSeq and is a predicted model, not a curated record.